ACAGGCGUGAGCCACCGCGCCCGGCCCUUGCAAUUGUUAAUUAUACAUUAGGAUUUCAAUAACUCCUCCUUAAUUCUUUUGCUGUUCCAGGAAGUGUGUGUGUGUACGUGCAUGCAUGUGCACAUGCCAGUGUGUCUUUAGGUGCUCUUGUUUUUUCCGAUACGGGCCAACAUGCAAAGACCAUCUUCCCCAAGAGCAGACAAGGCCUAGAGGAGAUAGGUUCAAAUAACAAAGGGAAACUGAGCAUGGCCUCUACCCUCCACCAUGUAUAAUUAAGUGAGAAGAUGAGAGAAUGCAUUUUCAGGCCUCCACUAAAGUUUGCGACCUCGGGGCUUCCUGGCUUGGAGCUCGGAUUGGUGGGCGAAGGCUGAGGAACAGGUGGAAUAGUGGGUCAGGCGCUUAAAAACUGCCGCCGUGUCCCCGACCUGGCAGUGGACACGAUGGCGCCCUUGAAUCGGGAACUGACUAGUGAGAUAGUGGAUAAUUUUAAUU
Sapajus apella (tufted capuchin) is the source of this 492-nucleotide long non-coding RNA. RefSeq lists it as uncharacterized. The transcript is spliced from 2 exons. The record is from RefSeq and is a predicted model, not a curated record. Lineage: Eukaryota; Metazoa; Chordata; Mammalia; Primates; Cebidae.